GUCAUAUGCUUGUCUCAAAGAUUAAGCCAUGCAUGUCUAAGUACAUGCCGUAUUAAGGCGAAACCGCGAAUGGCUCAUUAAAUCAGUUAUGGUUCCUUGGAUCGUACCUUACUACUUGGAUAACUGUGGUAAUUCUAGAGCUAAUACAUGCAGCAGAGCUCCGACCUUCGGGAACGAGCGCUUUUAUUAGAACAAAACCGACCGGACUCUGUCCGUACUUUGUGGUGACUCUGAAUAACUUUGGGCUGAUCGCACGGGCCCGUCCCGGCGACGUAUCUUUCAAGUGUCUGCCUUAUCAACUUUCGAUGGUAGGUUACGCGCCUACCAUGGUCGUAACGGGUAACGGGGAAUCAGGGUUCGAUUCCGGAGAGGGAGCCUGAGAAACGGCUACCACAUCCAAGGAAGGCAGCAGGCGCGCAAAUUACCCACUCCCAGAACGGGGAGGUAGUGACGAAAAAUAACAAUACGGGACUCUUUUGAGACCCCGUAAUUGGAAUGAGUACACUCUAAAUCCUUUAACGAGGAUCCAUUGGAGGGCAAGUCUGGUGCCAGCCGCCGCGGUAACUCCAGCUCCAAUAGCGUAUAUUAAAGUUGUUGCGGUUAAAAAGCUCGUAGUUGGAUCUCAGUUCCAGACGGGUGGUCCGCCUACCGGUGGUUACUGCCUGUUCUGAACAGCCAGCCGGUUUCUCUUGAUGAUCUUCACCGGUUGUCUUGGGUGACCGGCAAGUUUACUUUGAAAAAAUUAGAGUGCUCAAAGCAGGCGCGACGCCUGAAUAAUGGUGCAUGGAAUAAUGGAAUAGGACCUCGGUUCUAUUUUGUUGGUUUUCGGAACACGAGGUAAUGAUUAAGAGGGACAGACGGGGGCAUUCGUAUUGCGACGCUAGAGGUGAAAUUCUUGGACCGUCGCAGGACGAACUACUGCGAAAGCAUUUGCCAAGAAUGUUUCCAUUAAUCAAGAACGAAAGUUAGAGGUUCGAAGGCGAUCAGAUACCGCCCUAGUUCUAACCAUAAACGAUGCCAGCUAGCGAUCCGGCUGUGUUCCUCAAAUGACACGCCGGGCAGCUUCCGGGAAACCAAAGCUUUUGGGUUCCGGGGGAAGUAUGGUUGCAAAGCUGAAACUUAAAGGAAUUGACGGAAGGGCACCACCAGAAAUGGAGCCUGCGGCUUAAUUUGACUCAACACGGGAAAACUCACCCGGCCCGGACACAGGAAGGAUUGACAGAUUAAGAGCUCUUUCUUGAUUCUGUGGGUGGUGGUGCAUGGCCGUUCUUAGUUGGUGGAGCGAUUUGUCUGGUUAAUUCCGAUAACGAACGAGACUCUAGCCUACUAAAUAGACGUUCCCAUCAAUCUCGU
RNAcentral lists this ribosomal RNA (1353 nucleotides) under Salticidae gen. 1 sp. 5 SPB-2018. RNAcentral's name for it is "SSU rRNA". It matches the Rfam family "Eukaryotic small subunit ribosomal RNA", at positions 23 to 1377 of the family's 1831-position model. Lineage: Eukaryota; Metazoa; Arthropoda; Arachnida; Araneae; Salticidae. The record is from RNAcentral.